RNAcentral lists this long non-coding RNA (593 nucleotides) under Anas platyrhynchos platyrhynchos (common mallard). RNAcentral describes it as "lncRNA (ENSAPLG00000018870.1)". The record is from RNAcentral. Lineage: Eukaryota; Metazoa; Chordata; Aves; Anseriformes; Anatidae.
AAACACUGUGGAAAAAUCUGGAUGUUCUGCUCCUAAUGCCAUAUUAUUCCUUGCUGGCGAAGAGAAAGGAGAAGAGGCCUGCAGAGGGGGAAUGUCACUUGGAACAUCAGCAUCUGUCAUCAUGGCACUUCCAGAAGCUCAGACAUGAAAUGGUUUGAAUUUGGACAGGAGAGGAGAGUCUCUGGGUGCUGAGGGAAGUCAAAUUCAAAUUAUGGAAAUGCAUGUGGAGGUGGACUUGCAGAAUCAUGUAAAAAUCUCUGAAAUCUAGAAUACUGAUGAUUCCUUCUACUGGUACCUGCUUACUAUUUGAAACCACAUCAGCUCCAGAAGGCAGCUGGCUGAGGAAAUAUAACUCGCUGAAGGCGGUUACCUUUGUUCGAAGCCAACUGAGACAGCACCAGCACUCAGUAAUUACAGUCGUACAGUUUCCAGGAGACUCCUUCUUCACCAGACCUGUCGUCUCGUGUCCCCAUUUGUAACACUGUUCAUUAUAUCCAACCUGCUGCCGUCACUCUGGAGCUUUCAAAAGAAAUGUCAGAGGAAGCCAUAUUAUGAACAAUAAAGGAAAUAGAAAGACAGACUUUGUUGCUCUA